GUCACUGUGUCCCCGGUGUGCAGAGCCCGGUGAGAUGCCGCCACGCACCGUGGGCUCCUGAAGCCAUGGAGCAGCACAGACCCAAGGAGGAGGACGAGCAGGCUGAGGUGAUGCUGCCCGUUGCUUGCAGUGGGUGCUGCAGCUUGCCUGGAGGAAGCCCCCACAAUAACUCAGUGCGUAAACGUGGGAGGAUACAGGACAGGAGACCUGGAACGUCCGUGCCGUGAGAGACCGGCCGGUCCUCCUGCAGUCCUCUCACACCUGCAGGGUCAGAACAGGUGAACAGACUGAGACGGCUGUUGGUGUGCAGUCCCUGACAGGAGCAGCGGAAGAGCCUUAAGGAAGCGGGGCUCUCCCAGAAGAGAGAGGCACGCAAACACUGCUGCUGUAAAGCUCCUGGAGGGCCGUCCGCAGGCUGCGCUCCUCCUCGUCCUCGUCGUCGUCGUCCUCGUCCUCGUCGUCGUCCUGCUGCUGCUGCUGCUGCUCCUCCUCG
Molecule: long non-coding RNA, 493 nt
Filed under: Gallus gallus (chicken)
Lineage: Eukaryota; Metazoa; Chordata; Aves; Galliformes; Phasianidae
Description: lncRNA (ENSGALG00010000390.1)
Source: RNAcentral